This 1113-nucleotide ribosomal RNA is filed under the name Prolixicheilus longisulcus. RNAcentral's name for it is "partial 16S ribosomal RNA". The stretch from base 182 to 1094 matches the Rfam family "Bacterial large subunit ribosomal RNA", at positions 568 to 2044 of the family's 2925-position model. Lineage: Eukaryota; Metazoa; Chordata; Actinopteri; Cypriniformes; Cyprinidae. The record is from RNAcentral.
CAGCUAGCUUACUCACCAACAUAACCAAACAAUAUAAAUAAAAUAUAAUAGACAAAACACCAAAAACUAAACCAUUCUUUUACCUGAGUAUGGGAGACAGAAAAGGUUCAACCAAAGCAAUAGAAAUAGUACCGCAAGGGAAAGCUGAAAGAGAAAUGAAAUAAUCCAUACAAGUACCAAAAAGCAAAGACUAAACCUUGUACCUUUUGCAUCAUGAUUUAGCCAGUAAACACAAGCAAAGAGACCUUUAGUUUGAAACCCCGAAACCAGGUGAGCUACCCCGAGACAGCCUAUUAAGGGCCAACCCGUCUCUGUGGCAAAAGAGUGGGAAGAGCUCCGGGUAGAAGUGACAGACCUACCGAACCUGGUGAUAGCUGGUUGCCUAAGAAAUGAAUAGAAGUUCAGCCUCGUACACCUCAAAUCAAGAAAGCACUAAUCAAGAUACCAAGAGAAAAAUACGAGAGUUAGUUAAAGGGGGUACAGCCCCUUCAACAGAGGAUACAACCUUAUUCAGGAGGAUAAAGAUCAUAAUAUAUAAAACAUACUGUUCUAGUGGGCCUAAAGGCAGCCACCUAAACAGAAAGCGUUAAAGCUCAGACAGAAAAAAGUUUAUUAUUCUGAUAAAAAAUCUUAUUCCCCUAAAUACUAUUAGGCUAAUCCAUGCCCCCAUGGAAGAAAUUAUGCUAAAAUGAGUAACAAGAGGGCUCGCCCUUCUCCAAGCACAAGUGUAAGCCAAAACGGACCAACCAUUGGCAACUAACGAACUCAACCCAAGAGAGCACUGUGAACCAUAAAAAAAACAAGAAAAACCCACAACUUAAUAAUCGUUAACCCCACACUGGAGUGCUAUUAAAGGAAAGACUAAAAGAAAAGGAAGGAACUCGGCAAACACAAGCCUCGCCUGUUUACCAAAAACAUCGCCUCCUGCAACACAACCAUGUAUAGGAGGUCCAGCCUGCCCAGUGACUACAAGUUCAACGGCCGCGGUAUUUUGACCGUGCAAAGGUAGCGCAAUCACUUGUCUUUUAAAUAGAGACCUGUAUGAAUGGCUAAACGAGGGCUUAACUGUCUCCCCUUUCAAGUCAGUGAAAUUGAUCUGCCCGUGCAGAAGCG